UAUUGAUCUAAUCGUGGCCGC
This 21-nucleotide non-coding RNA is filed under the name Caenorhabditis elegans. The record is from RNAcentral. Lineage: Eukaryota; Metazoa; Nematoda; Chromadorea; Rhabditida; Rhabditidae.